GAGCGCUCCCGCGGGGGCUCCGCGAUGCGCCGGCGGCGCGGCCGCUCACCCGAAAUCCUGGUCCAUGGACUUGAAGAAGAACUUGUAGCUGUGCACGGGCCGGUUGCUGAGGACAUUUUUGAAAUCGGCCAGCGUGACUUUCUCCGGCGGCACCGGCAGCUUCACCAGGACAGGGACAUUCACUUCUCAGUGUUCAGCUGCUCUCUGUGAAGGGGUAAAUCACAGCUCAGUGACUGAAUUACCUGUGGCACUGGAGUGAUUUUUCUACCAGCACAAAACACAGGAGCCAACUGUGUUAGUGGCUGCCAGAAGCACUGGAUAAUCCACAACUCAACAAGGUUUAACAACACUGAGGAACCAAAACAUCAUCACCUGCCUGCUGCCAUUUCUGGUUUAGUGAAGGAAUUACAAAAUCACAGCCACUGAGGUUCUCCAGCUGAUGUUCCUGCCACUCAUCACUGCUUGUGUGAUCAUCAAACAGGAUAAACAGCAAGGUAAAGUUCCAUAUCCUGCUUUGAUCCUUCAAAUUCCUGCCCCUGCACCGUCCAUCCAAGCAGCAAUCCAAGCUGUUUCCAUCAGUGUCCCUGGAAGAACUCUGGUGCCAGCUGGGAUAGUGCUCAGGGGGUGGAAACCCUCCAAGAGCAGAAUGUGCAGCAGGAACUUCACAAGGUGUGAGUUCUGCAAGCAAAGAGGAAUCUGGGCUGGGAGUGAAAUAACAUAUUCCAGCAGGAUGUGUUAUCUUCCCUUCUGGACCUGCAAAAUUAAAUCCUGUGGAAGAGCUGCCAGCCUUCCCCUCUGAUGGAUGGUUUGAACUCCAUCUCCAGCUGCGGAUCCGCCCGUUACACAACACUUUUGGAGAGCUGCAAUUUCUCCAUGGGCCCCAUGACCCUGUCAAAUAAUGAUGUCCCACGUGGAAAGGAUAUUGGAAUCACUGGAAUAACUUAUUGAAUCCAAUCUGCACUUUGUAAAGCACUUUAGGAUACUCUGAGAUGAAACACACUGCAGAGCUAUUGGGAAGAAUUAGCUAAUGCUGGCUUAUGGCUCAGGUAGCAUCUCCAAAGAGCAAGAAAUAAAACCAACCUUAGCUGGAAACUCCAUUAAAUUCUCCUUUAUUUCUUAAACACUAGGAAUUACACAGCAAUGGCAAAUGGUAAAAGUUAAGUGACAAUAAUAAUGAAAAUUAAUUCAGUUACAACAAACUAAAAAAAAAAACAAACAACCACAAGCUUUAUGGCCUAAGUCCUUCUCUCAGUCUGGAGAGGAAGCAGAGUAUGCACAGAGCUGAAAAGGGUCUAGUUCUAGUCUCAGUUUUAACCCCUUUCAAGGUCUCUGCCAAACAGCCUUUCCUUGUCCCACACCAAGGGCUGACAGUCCACACAUUAUCCUAAAAGAGACUUUGAUUUCUCUGCCCUCACUGAGGAGGAACUGCUGUAAAAAUUAGGGAUUAUUACUAUUUUAACUAACUGAACACAGAAUGCAUGUCUCAGGAAGCCAGGGAGGCUGUGAUGAGGCAAAGCCUGCAAAGUGACAGGCAAAGGAGUCUGUCAAGGUGCAGAAUUUAAUUGGUACAGGGAGAACAUCAUCUCCAAUAACUCGGGCAAAGCACAUUUACCAAAGUGCUACACACUUUAAAAAAGUGUUUCUCCACCAGAGGCAAGUUACAGCCCCAGAUUAGGGAAAGAAAGGCUGAGAUGAGAGACAGAGAGAGGGAGAGAAAACCAACCUGUCUGGCACUGCAGUGAGUCUGUGGCAGAGCAGGGACAGAGAGCAGUGGUCCUGCAACUUGAACCUUUUAAUUUUCACAUGCAAGAUCAGCUACCUGGAACUCCCCCCCAGUGCCAGAGACUGACAGACUGCAAAGUGCACUGUGAAAAACCUAAGUGGCUUCUCACCACUAUUUAAGGGCAAACAGCCUUUGAUAAUCCCUCUGCAUCAAGAAAUAAACAGCCAGAACUCUUCA
Corapipo altera (White-ruffed manakin) is the source of this 1960-nucleotide long non-coding RNA. RefSeq lists it as uncharacterized. The record is from RefSeq and is a predicted model, not a curated record. Lineage: Eukaryota; Metazoa; Chordata; Aves; Passeriformes; Pipridae. The transcript has 4 exons.